AUUGAACGCUGGCGGCAUGCUUUACACAUGCAAGUCGAACGGUAGCAGGUUAAGCUGACGAGUGGCGAACGGGUGAGUAAUGCAUCGGAACGUGCCCGGUCGUGGGGGAUAACGCAGCGAAAGCUGCGCUAAUACCGCAUACGAUCUGAGGAUGAAAGCGGGGGACCGUAAGGCCUCGCGCGAUCGGAGCGGCCGAUGUCAGAUUAGGUAGUUGGUGGGGUACAGGCUCACCAAGCCAACGAUCUGUAGCUGGUCUGAGAGGACGACCAGCCACACUGGGAAUGGGAAACGGCCCAGACUCCUGCGGGAGGCAGCAGUGGGGAAUUUUGGACAAUGGGCGAAAGCCUGAUCCAGCAAUGCCGCGUGCAGGAAGAAGGCCUUCGGGUUGUAAACUGCUUUUGUACGGAGCGAAAAGGUCUCCUCUAAUACAGGGGGCUCAUGACGGUACCGUAAGAAUAAGCACUGGCUAACUACGUGCCAGCCGCCGCGGUAA
This 493-nucleotide ribosomal RNA is filed under the name uncultured bacterium. RNAcentral describes it as "partial 16S ribosomal RNA". It matches the Rfam family "Bacterial small subunit ribosomal RNA", at positions 29 to 523 of the family's 1533-position model. The record is from RNAcentral.